AUUGAACGCUGGCGGCAGGCCUAACACAUGCAAGUCGAACGGUAACAGGAAACAGCUUGCUGUUUCGCUGACGAGUGGCGGACGGGUGAGUAAUGUCUGGGAAACUGCCUGAUGGAGGGGGAUAACUACUGGAAACGGUAGCUAAUACCGCAUAACGUCGCAAGACCAAAGAGGGGGACCUUCGGGCCUCUUGCCAUCGGAUGUGCCCAGAUGGGAUUAGCUAGUAGGUGGGGUAACGGCUCACCUAGGCGACGAUCCCUAGCUGGUCUGAGAGGAUGACCAGCCACACUGGAACUGAGACACGGUCCAGACUCCUACGGGAGGCGGCAGUGGGGAAUAUUGCACAAUGGGCGCAAGCCUGAUGCAGCCAUGCCGCGUGUAUGAAGAAGGCCUUCGGGUUGUAAAGUACUUUCAGCGGGGAGGAAGGGAGUAAAGUUAAUACCUUUGCUCAUUGACGUUACCCGCAGAAGAAGCACCGGCUAACUCCGUG
This 490-nucleotide ribosomal RNA is filed under the name uncultured bacterium. Its description in RNAcentral is "partial 16S ribosomal RNA". It matches the Rfam family "Bacterial small subunit ribosomal RNA", at positions 30 to 507 of the family's 1533-position model. The record is from RNAcentral.